UGCAUGGCAGCGCCUCGGACAGGGGCGCUGCCGCCGCUGGGACCCUCCCCCGGGCCGGUCCCGGGCGUCCCCCUUCCCGCCUCGCCCCUUCCCAGCAGCCGACACCCUUGACCUUGCCAUCCGGCAGCGACAGCAGCGGCGGGCGGAGGAUCGCUGUGCAGGGCUGCGGAGCUGCCUUGGGGUGCGUUAGCCGGCGUAUGGCACGUAAAAAUUUCUACUAGAAGGGCGAGAGGCAACAUCUUCCAAUUGACGGGAGGUGGAAGAAAAAAAGGAUUUAAAGAGCAUCUUUGCCCUCUUUGUUGAAUGAGAAGGACAGGGGAGGACCAGCAAGAUGAGCACUAGCACAGUUCCCUAUCAGCAAAACCCCUACACCCCUGGGAGCAGCUCCACCGUCAUCCAGUGCUACCGCUGCGGGGACACCUGCAAGGGCGAGGUGGUGCGUGUCCAGAGCAACCACUUCCACAUCCGCUGCUUCACCUGCCAAGUGUGCGGCUGUGACCUGGCCCAGUCGGGCUUCUUCUUCAAGAACCAGGAGUACAUCUGCACCCACGACUACCAGCAGCUCUAUGGGACCCGCUGUGACAGUUGUGGGGACUUCAUCACUGGAGAGGUCAUCUCCGCCCUGGGGAGGACCUACCACCCCAAGUGCUUCGUCUGCAGCACCUGCAGGAAGCCGUUCCCCAUCGGAGACAAGGUCACGUUCAGUGGGAAGGACUGUGUCUGCCAAAACUGCUCCCACUCUCUCAUCAGCACCAAACCCAUCAAGAUCCACGGGCCAAGCCACUGCGCAGGCUGUAAGGAGGAGAUCAAGCAAGGCCAGUCCCUCCUGGCCCUGGAGAAGCAGUGGCAUGUCAGCUGCUUCAAGUGCCAAACGUGCGGGAUCAUCCUCACCGGCGAGUACAUCAGCAAGGAUGGCAUCCCAUACUGUGAGUCCGACUACCAUGCCCAGUUUGGCAUCAAGUGCGAGACCUGCGACCGGUACAUCAGUGGCAGGGUUCUGGAGGCAGGAGGGAAGCACUACCACCCGACUUGUGCCAGAUGUGUCCGCUGCCACCAGAUGUUCACAGAAGGAGAGGAGAUGUACCUCACAGGCUCUGAAGUGUGGCACCCCAUCUGCAAGCAGGCGGCCAGAGCGGAGAAGAAGCUAAAGCACAGAAGGACAUCAGAAACCUCCAUCUCACCCCCCGGGUCCAGUAUCGGCUCCCCAAACCGUGUUAUCUGCGCUAAAGUGGAUAAUGAGAUCCUUAAUUACAAAGACCUGGCAGCUCUUCCCAAGAUUAAAUCCAUCUAUGAAGUGCAGCGUCCUGACCUCAUUUCCUACGAGCCCUAUCACAGAUACACGUCGGAUGAGACGCUGGAGAGAUAUAGCUAUGGGGAGUCCCUGGGGACCCUCUCCCCGUACUCGCAGGACAUCUACGAGAGCUUUGACACGCGGCAAAGGCGAGCCUCCAGCCCUGGCUACAUCGACUCCCCCACCUACAGCCGCCAGGGCAUGUCCCCCACCAUCCCGAGGUCCCCCCACCAUUUCUACCGCUCAGGCACCGAGAGCGGGCGCAGCUCCCCCUACUAUAGCCAGUUAGAUGUGAGGUCCUCCACUCCAACCUCAUACCAAGCGCCCAAGCAUUUCCACAUCCCAGCUGCUGGUGAGAGUAACAUCUACCGGAAACCCCCCAUCUAUAAGCGACACGACAACCCCCCGGCAGCCACGAAAAGCAAAACCAGUGAAGACAUCGCACAGUCAUCCAAGUACAGCCCUGCCUACUCCCCGGACCCGUACUACCAUUCUGAGUCGGAGUACUGGCCCUUCCAAGGCUCCCCAAAAGCCCCCCGGGCCCGGCGGUUCUCAUCAGGAGGCGAGGAGGAUGGGUACGACCGGGGCAUGCACAAGAUCCAGAGCGGCAUCGGCCGGCUGAUCCUGAGGGAGGAGAUGAAGGCUCGGUCCAACUCCUACGCAGACCCCUGGACACCCCCUCGCAGCUCGGCCAGCAGCAGAGAAGCCCUGCACACGGCUGGCUACGAGGGCUCCCUCAAUGGCUCUCCCCGGACGCAUUACCUGGCUGACAGCGAUCCCCUUAUUUCUAAGUCAGCCUCCCUUCCUGCCUACAGGAGAAAUGGGCUGCACAGGCCUCCCAGUGCCGAGCUUUUCCACUACGACAGCACGAACGCCGUAAACUGGGGGAUGCGAGAGUACAAGGUAAGAUGCUCUGCCAGACAGAGAUGUGAAUACCACCCAGAGAUGUGCCGUGUGUCCCCAGCCCUUCAGGAGGAAGCCUUGCCCUCUGCCCACAGUGCCCUGCCUUCCCCCCUUUCCAUCCCCCACCUGACAGCCCCGGCGUGGGACUGUGGGGCUCAGGCCAGAGUCUCAAGGGUCCCAAGCCCUUUGCCAAGCAGAAUUGUCGCCCGGUGAGGAACAAGAGAAUGGUGGUCUUGCUGGUGUUUCCCUACUCAUGCUCAUCUCUGGGUCACUCCUGUCUUUGUGGAGUGAGCAGGAGACCUUCAGGUUGCCAUUCCAGAGCCACCAAAGUGAUUCAAGGUGGAUUAAGGUCACCCUGAGAGCAGGUCCCCCAUCUGCUUUGUCCUGUCCAAGCCCCAGGGGCAGCUGUGACACCCAAACCCUGCUAAAUGUAGCGGAGGAAGGCUUUGCCUUCGUGCUCCCCAUGGCCCCAUCCCAGAUGUGCCCCAUCUGUCCUAUUCUGGCUCAGUAGCUACCCUGUGAUCUUCCUGUGCUUGUGCAGAUAUACCCCUAUGAGCUGCUCCUGGUGAAGACGAGGGGAAGGAACCAGCUGCCCAAAGAUGUGGACAGGACUCGGUUAGAGCGCCACCUCUCCCAGGAGGAGUUCUACCAGAUCUUCGGCAUGACCAUCGCCGAGUUUGACCGCCUGGCCCUCUGGAAGAGGAACGAGCUGAAGAAGCAGGCCCGGCUAUUUUAAAUACAGUGCACUAUAAAUAUAUACAUACCUAUAAAUAUAUACAUAGAAAGAUCUCUAUAUUGCAGCUCUGUAUGAUUCUCGGUGCUGUAUGUGGCAGAGGCACCCUCUGCACCCCUGAGAGUGAACUGGAGUCUUGCAGAUCA
Columba livia (rock pigeon) is the source of this 3073-nucleotide RNA transcript. It is a transcript of the gene named actin binding LIM protein family member 3, with no coding region annotated. NCBI's taxonomy places the organism in Eukaryota, Metazoa, Chordata, Aves, Columbiformes, Columbidae. The record is from RefSeq and is a predicted model, not a curated record. The transcript has 22 exons.